AUCCUGGCUCAGAUUGAACGCUGGCGGCAGGCCUAACACAUGCAAGUCGAGCGGUAGAGAGGUGCUUGCAUCUCUUGAGAGCGGCGGACGGGUGAGUAAUGCCUAGGAAUCUGCCUAGUGGUGGGGGGAUAACGUUCGGAAACGGACGCUAAUACCGCAUACGUCCUACGGGAGAAAGCGGGGGGAUCUUCGGACCUCGCGCCAUUAGAUGAGCCUAGGUCGGAUUAGCUAGUUGGUGAGGUAAUGGCUCACCAAGGCGACGAUCCGUAACUGGUCUGAGAGGAUGAUCAGUCACACUGGAACUGAGACACGGUCCAGACUCCUACGGGAGGCAGCAGUGGGGAAUAUUGGACAAUGGGCGAAAGCCUGAUCCAGCCAUGCCGCGUGUGUGAAGAAGGUCUUCGGAUUGUAAAGCACUUUAAGUUGGGAGGAAGGGUAGUAACCUAAUACGUUGCUACUUUGACGUUACCGACAGAAUAAGCACCGGCUAACUUCGUG
This 498-nucleotide ribosomal RNA is filed under the name uncultured bacterium. Its description in RNAcentral is "bacterial SSU rRNA". It matches the Rfam family "Bacterial small subunit ribosomal RNA", at positions 16 to 507 of the family's 1533-position model. The record is from RNAcentral.